AGAAUCAACGCUGGCGGCGUGCCUAACACAUGCAAGUCGAACGAGAAAGUGGAGCAAUCCAUGAGUAAAGUGGCGACCGGGUGAGUAACACGUGACUAACCUACCCUACAGUGGGGGGAUAACUCCGGGAAAACCGGGGCUAAUACCGCAUAACAUCGUAAGAUCAAAGGAGCAAUUCGCUGAAGGAGGGGGUCGCGGCUGAUUAGUUAGUUGGUGAGGUAACGGCUCACCAAGACGAAGAUCAGUAGCCGGCCUGAGAGGGCGCACGGCCACACUGGAACUGAAACACGGUCCAGACUCCUACGGGAGGCAGCAGUGGGAAUUUUGCGCAAUGGGGGAAACCCUGACGCAGCAACGCCGCGUGGAGGAUGAAGUCCCUUGGGAUGUAAACUCCUUUCGAUCGGGACGAUUAUGACGGUACCGGAAGAAGAAGCACCGGCUAACUCUGUGCCAGCAGCCG
This 460-nucleotide ribosomal RNA is filed under the name uncultured bacterium. RNAcentral's name for it is "SSU rRNA". It matches the Rfam family "Bacterial small subunit ribosomal RNA", at positions 26 to 517 of the family's 1533-position model. The record is from RNAcentral.